AUGGCGCAAAUAACCAUCUCCGCGGUAGCUAUAGCGGCAGCGGUACUUAUACUAGUGCCGGUGUUCACUUUCACUAGAGGAACAGUAGAAGCAGCUGAUCCGAUCGGGAUGCCCAACUGCGUCAUCUCCUGCGGCGACGUGGAGGUGCCGUACCCGUUCGGCAUUGGCGCGAACACCAGCUGCUACCUGCCAGGCUUCAACCUCACCUGCGACAACACUACCGGCUCAAGCCCACGGCUGCUGCUGGACGCCGACGGCACUAUUCAAGUCCUCGGCAUCAUGAACCUCGAUUCGGGGGGCUACAUGUACGUCCAACGCAAUGGUGACGUUAAAAUCAAAGUCGAUGCCAAUGGCAAUGGCAACGGCACGUUCAGCCAAGGCCUUAAGCACGACGGACCAUACAUGUUGCUAACCGUGUUGCUGCCCUUUAGGAGCGAGCUCAUCUUGAUGGGCUGCAACGUGCAGGCGACGGUGAAGAGUGGCAACGCCACCGUGGCCAGCUGCACCUCGCUUUGUGAUGACACAGCAGACUAUGAAACCAGCGUGAUCGACCGAUGCUCUGGCGGCAGCACAGGCUGCUGCCGUGCGAACAUCAUCAAGCCGGGCUACGACGACGACGGACGUGGCGAAGUAUACAGCAGCAGUAGCACCGCAUAUGACGUGCAGCUCAGACGGUUGGGUCGUUGGAACCGUAGCGCGGACCGGGACCGAUUCCCGGUGCGUGUGUUUAUCGCCGAACGUGGGUGGUUCGACAAUACCUCCGUCUCAAACGACCUCCUGCAGACUGGCCGACCCCCAUCAAAGGAGACAUUGAAAGUUCCCGUUUGGCUGUCGUGGGAGGUUGUUGACCAUCCUAACAGGAGCAGUGUCUGCAAGAGCAACCACAGCCAACGCGGAAAUGGCCGAAAAAGAGGAGGCUAUGCAUGUGCCUGCAAAAAUGGUUACGAAGGCAAUCCUUACCUCACAGACGGGUGCAAAGAUAUCGAUGAGUGCGAGUGGUCACCAGCACUCACUGGAUGCUAUGGUGAAUGCAUCAACACGGAAGGAUCCUUCAUGUGUGGGUGCCCGCCAGGAACCACCGGCAACUUCACCAUACCCGGUGGGUGCAUCAACACGGAAGAUAUUUGCAGGACAUCCUGCGGGGAUGUGGAGGUGCCAUACCCGUUUGGUAUUGGCUCGUCCAAGUGCUACUGGCCAGGGUUCCGCCUCGAGUGUUACACGGGCUAUCAACCCCCGCGUUUGUUACUCAGUAAUGGUCGGUUCCAGGUCGUCGGUAUCUCCCUUCACAACUCCACGAUGCGUGUUAUCCGGAUCGACAACCUUAGGCCCUACACAACGUUACCAACUUCAAUGGCCACUGAUUUAGGGGAGGAAUUCCCUUACUUUCCCGAUGAUGAAGAGGUGCCCUACUCGCUCUCCACGAGCAAUGAGCUUGUCGUCACGGGGUGCAACGCGCAUGCGACGUUGGUGGGGCACAACAACCCAGCCAUUAUCAGUGGCUGCGCCACCUUCUGCUACUACAACGACACCGGUGGAGUUUGGGGCGAGGGGUCGUCAACAAAUGGCAUCCACGGGGAAAACGACGGCGACAAGUACUGCUAUGGCAAAGGGUGCUGCAAGGCGCGCAUCUCCGAGUCCGUGGAUGGGAUGCCAAAGAAAUUGGUCUUCAAAUGGCUGGACGCCACCAGCAACUCUCAAUCGGUCUUCGUGUUCAUCGCAGAGGAGGGAUGGUUUGAUCCGUGGGGUGUCACCGGCAAACUAAUGCGGGGGGGUUAUCGUGCGGAUGCUAUGAAGGUUCCCAUUCUUCUCCGUUGGGAGGUGUUCCUGCCGCAUAGUGGCUCGUCAUCAGCCAACGUGAGCUCACACCCGGACUGCAACGGCGGGGAUUAUCAGGUCACGCCACGCGACCAGAUCUGCAAGAGCAAGCACAGCCAGUGCAAACGUGGGAACAGAGGCUAUACGUGCCAGUGCAACGAGGACGGCGGUUACCACGGCAAUCCAUACCUCGUCGGCGGAUGCAAAGAUGAACGCGCCGAAUACUUAAAAGGUUUAAGCAUCACUAUGGGAGUUGCUAGUGGGGCAGGCCUCAUCCUUGUGGUCCUCAUUGCAUACUUUAUCUCCUACAAAUUUAAGCAUCAAAGGGCACAAAUGUUGAAACGGAAAUAUUUUGAAAAAAACCGCGGGCAAUUGUUGCAACAAUUGGUAUCACAAAGAGCUGAUAUUGCAGAGAAAAUGAUCAUAACUUUGGAAGAGCUAGAGAAGGCAACAAACAAUUUUGAUAAAGCUCGUGAACUUGGUGGUGGUGGGCAUGGUACUGUCUAUAAAGGGAUUUUGUUGGAUCUCCAUGUUGUAGCCAUCAAGAAACCAAAGAUGAUUGUUCAAAGGGAGAUUGAUGAGUUUAUUAAUGAGGUUGCUAUCCUAUCACAAAUCAACCAUAGGAAUGUAGUAAAACUAUAUGGUUGUUGCCUUGAAACAGAAGUGCCACUGUUAGUCUACGAGUUCAUAUCCAAUGGAACUCUUUAUGACCAUCUUCAUGUCGAAGGACCAACAUCAUUGUCAUGGGCUGAUAGGCUACGAAUAGCAACAGAAACUGCAAAAUCACUUGCCCAUCUUCACUCAACAGCUUUAGUACCUAUCAUCCAUAGAGAUGUCAAACCUGCUAACAUACUUUUGGAUGAUACUCUGACAGCAAAGGUAGCAGACUUUGGAGCUUCAAGGUACAUUCCAUUGGACAAAUCAGGGCUAACAACAAAUGUGCAAGGUACACUAGGAUAUCUGGAUCCAAUGUACAUGCACACAUGGCGCCUCACGGAGAAAAGUGAUGUUUAUAGCUUUGGUGUUAUGCUUAUAGAGUUGAUGACUAGAAAGAAGCCAUUUACAUAUAUGGCUCCCGAAGGAAAUGGUCUUGUGGCACAUUUUGCUAUCUUAUUUGCCAGAGGCCAUUUGGUGGAGAUAUUAGAUCCACAAGUUCUGAGCGAGGGUGGCAAUAGAAUUGAUGAAAUCGCUGCAAUUGCGGUAGCAUGUGUAAAAUUAAGAGGGGAGGAAAGGCCAACCAUGAGACAGGUAGAAUUGCGAUUGGAAGUUGCUCAAUCACCUGAGGAAUUCGAGGUGGAUGAGGAUAUUGCAGAAAAUUCUCAAUUAGCACGUGGAGCUGGAUUGACUAGCAGGCAGUAUAGUAUGGAAGAAGAGUAUGUGUUGUCUGCAAGAUAUCCACGGUAG
Molecule: ribosomal RNA, 3219 nt
Filed under: Triticum aestivum (bread wheat)
Lineage: Eukaryota; Viridiplantae; Streptophyta; Magnoliopsida; Poales; Poaceae
Description: partial small subunit ribosomal RNA
Source: RNAcentral